This 1362-nucleotide ribosomal RNA is filed under the name Triticum aestivum (bread wheat). RNAcentral's name for it is "partial small subunit ribosomal RNA". The record is from RNAcentral. Lineage: Eukaryota; Viridiplantae; Streptophyta; Magnoliopsida; Poales; Poaceae.
AUGGCCGCGUCAGCCAAAGUGCUUCACCCGCCACUGUCGGACCUCGCCGUACAGCAUCUCUGCGCCGGCGGCGUUGCCCAUGACGAUUCGGCGGGACUGCCCUUGCCUCCGCGGCUGCCGAUCCCCAGGGAACUGAUGGACGAUUUGUGCACCGGUUUGGACACCGGCGACGUCGGCAAGAACGUGGACCUGUUCAGGCAGUUCAUGGCCCUGGAGAAGGAGCUCGACCUGCUUGAGUGCGAGGAGGAGGACCUGCGGGUCGAGAUCGCGGACCUGCUGCCCGUGUUCCGGCUCAUGGAGGCAGAGCAUGAGUACCAGCAUGAGACCAAGUGCAGCGGCGCCCUCAUCGUCGGCCACGUAGUCGAGGUUAUCGACGAGGGCCACGCCGUCGUCACCACCAGCGCCAGGCCCUUCGCCUUCUGCGUGCCCGUCCUCGGCGACGUGGACCGCGCGCUCCUCAAGCCAUCGGCCAACGUCGCGCUGUCCAUGUCGAACCUCGCGGUCGUCCAAGUCCUGCCGCCGGACUCCGGCUGGACCGUGCCCCUCGUCAAGGCCACCGAGAGGCCGAGCGUCACCUACGCGGACGUGGUCGGGUGCGACGAGCAGAAGCGGGAGGUCCUCGAGGCCGUGGAGCUGCCGCUGACGCACCCGGAGCUGUUCGCCCGCGCCGGCGUGGAGGCGCCGCGGGGCGUGCUCCUGCACGGCCCGCCGGGCACCGGCAAGACCAUGCUGGCCAAAGCCGUCGCGCAUCACACGUCGGCGGCCUUCAUCCGCGUGAGCGGCUCGGAGUUCGUGAACAGGCACCCGGGCGAGGGGCCCAGGAUGGUGCGCGAGGUGUUCCAGGCCGCCCGCGACAACGCGCCGGCCAUCAUCUUCUUCGACGAGGUGGACGCCAUCGCGUCUGCCCGGACCGACUCCGACGACGCCUCAGCCGCCGACCGCGAGGUGUACAGGGUGCUGCUGGAGCUGCUCGCGCAGAUGGACGGCUUCGACCAGUGCCCCGACGUGCGGGUGAUCAUGGCGACAAACCGUGCCGACGCGCUGGACCCGGCGCUGCUGCGGCCGGGGCGCCUGGACCGCAGGGUGGAGUUCCCGCUGCCGGGGAGGGCGCAGAAACGUCGGCUGUUCCAGGCGUGCACGGCGGGGAUGCCCCUUGACGGCGGCGUCGACCUGGAGGACCUGGUGGCCCGGCACGAGGAGAUGAGCGCUGCGGACAUCGACGCCGUGUGCCGCGAGGCUGGCAUGCGGGCCGUGCGCGACCGCCGGUGCGUGGUGACGCGCGAGGACUUGGAGGAGGGCUACCACGCCGUCGCCAAGCAUAUCGACCGCGGCGCUGACCAGUUCGCGUUCUACAGCUUAUAG